RNAcentral lists this non-coding RNA (141 nucleotides) under Lotharella globosa. The record is from RNAcentral. Lineage: Eukaryota; Cercozoa; Chlorarachniophyceae.
AGAUGAAAAAAGAGAAGAACCAAAAAGGAGGGAGGAGGAAGAAGAGAAAGAAGAAGACACGGAUUGAUAUGAUUCGAUAUGUUGGCGAUUCGAUUAGUUUGCUGACUUUUUCUCUGUCUUUCUCUUGUAUUUGGCGAUCUG